Molecule: ribosomal RNA, 258 nt
Filed under: uncultured bacterium
Lineage: Bacteria
Description: partial 16S ribosomal RNA
Rfam family: Bacterial small subunit ribosomal RNA
Source: RNAcentral
UGGCGGACGGGUGAGUAACGCGUGGAUAACCUGCCGUAUACCGGGGGAUAACACUUAGAAAUAGGUGCCAAUACCGCAUAAGCGCACGGCUCCGCAUGGGGCAGUGUGAAAAACUCCGGUGGUAUACGAUGGAUCCGCGUCUGAUUAGCUAGUUGGCGGGGUAACGGCCCACCAAGGCAGCGAUCAGUAGCCGGCCUGAAAGGGUGGACGGCCACAUUGGGACUGAGACACGGCCCAAACUCCUACGGGAGGCAGCAG